GACGGAGGAUGCAAGCGUUAUCCGGAAUGAUUGGGCGUAAAGCGUCCGCAGGUGGCAGUUCAAGUCUGCUGUCAAAGACCGGGGCUUAACUUCGGAAAGGCAGUGGAAACUGAACAGCUAGAGUAUGGUAGGGGCAGAGGGAAUUCCUGGUGUAGCGGUGAAAUGCGCAGAUAUCAGGAGGAACACCAAUUGCGAAGGCAGCACUCUGGGACGUGACUGACGCUGAGACGCGAAAGCGUGGGGAGCAAACAGG
RNAcentral lists this ribosomal RNA (253 nucleotides) under uncultured bacterium. Its description in RNAcentral is "partial 16S ribosomal RNA". It matches the Rfam family "Bacterial small subunit ribosomal RNA", at positions 524 to 776 of the family's 1533-position model. The record is from RNAcentral.